Molecule: ribosomal RNA, 743 nt
Filed under: uncultured bacterium
Lineage: Bacteria
Description: bacterial SSU rRNA
Rfam family: Bacterial small subunit ribosomal RNA
Source: RNAcentral
UGCAGUCGUACGCGAAAGAAGGGCAACCUUCGAGUAAAGUGGCGCACGGGUGAGUAACACGUGGAUAACCUGCCCCAAAGUCUGGGAUAACGUGCCGAAAGGUGCGCUAAUACCGGAUACUUUUGUGCCUCACAAGAGGUAUAAAGAAAGGAGGCCUCUGCUUGCAAGCUUUCGCUUUGGGAUGGGUCCGCGGCCUAUCAGGUAGUUGGUAGGGUAACGGCCUACCAAGCCUACGACGGGUAGCUGGUCUGAGAGGACGAUCAGCCACAUUGGGACUGAGACACGACCCAGACUCCUACGGGAGGCAGCAGUGGGGAAUAUUGGGCAAUGGGAGAAAUCCUGACCCAGCAACGCCGCGUGGAGGAUGAAGGCCUUCGGGUUGUAAACUCCUGUCAGCAGGGAAAAAGAUUGCAAAAGCUAAUACCUUUUGCAAUUUGAUGGUACCUGCUAAGGAAGCACCAGCUAACUACGUGCCAGCAGCCGCGGUAAUACGUAGGGUGCAGGCGUUAUUCGGAAUCACUGGGCGUAAAGGGCGCGCAGGCGGUUUUGUAAGUCUAAAGUGAAAUCCUUGGGCUUAACCCAGGGGCUGCUUUAGAUACUGCAAAACUCGAGUUCGGGAAAAGCAAGCGGAAUUCCUGGUGAAGGGGUGAAAUCCGUAGAUAUCAGGAAGAACACCAGUGGCGAAAGCGGCUUGCUAGAACGCAACUGACGCUUAGGCGCGAAAGCGUGGGGAGCAAACAGGA